This 239-nucleotide ribosomal RNA is filed under the name uncultured Lactobacillus sp. RNAcentral's name for it is "partial 16S ribosomal RNA". It matches the Rfam family "Bacterial small subunit ribosomal RNA", at positions 125 to 354 of the family's 1533-position model. The record is from RNAcentral. Lineage: Bacteria; Bacillati; Bacillota; Bacilli; Lactobacillales; Lactobacillaceae.
CCGUAGCCCAAGAGAUCGGGAUAACACCUGGAAACAGAUGCUAAUACCGGAUAACAAUAGAUGAUGCCUAUCAACUGUUUAAAAGAUGGUUCUGCUAUCACUCUUGGAUGGACCUGCGGUGCAUUAGCUAGUUGGUAGGGUAACGGCCUACCAAGGCGAUGAUGCAUAGCCGAGUUGAGAGACUGAUCGGCCACAUUGGGACUGAGACACGGCCCAAACUCCUACGGGAGGCAGCAGGA